RNAcentral lists this ribosomal RNA (377 nucleotides) under uncultured bacterium. Its description in RNAcentral is "bacterial SSU rRNA". It matches the Rfam family "Bacterial small subunit ribosomal RNA", at positions 521 to 896 of the family's 1533-position model. The record is from RNAcentral.
UAAUACGGGGGGAGCAAGCGUUGUUCGGAUUUACUGGGCGUAAAGGGCGCGUAGGCGGCGUGGUAAGUCACUUGUGAAAUCUCCGGGCUUAACUCGGAACGGUCAAGUGAUACUGCUGUGCUAGAGUGCGGAAGGGGCAACUGGAAUUCUCGGUGUAGCGGUGAAAUGCGUAGAUAUCGAGAGGAACACCUGCGGCGAAGGCGGGUUGCUGGGCCGACACUGACGCUGAGGCGCGAAAGCUAGGGGAGCGAACGGGAUUAGAUACCCCGGUAGUCCUAGCCUUAAACGAUGGAUGCUUGGUGUCUGGAGUAUUUAGUCUCCGGGUGCCGUCGCUAACGCUUUUAGCAUCCCGCCUGGGGAGUACGGUCGCAAGACUG